CACUGCAGCCGUCGUUCUCUGACCUGUUCUCGGAACGUGUUAACCUGCUUUCUGAUCUAACUGACGGUGCAAGUAGUCAUUUAACUGCAGGUCAGCACAUAUCUAUGUCCAUUUAACUGGUGGCGCACUGAUCCUCCUGGGCAGCAUCGCAGUCGGUGACCCUGCCGAGUGGCGUGGUGGAGCGGCCCUUGGCCGGCUAGCACAUCACGAGCGGCUGUGGCGUGUGAAAUCCUUAAGGAUUGUAACCGUCAGGGGAAUAGAUAAGAGACCAUGUCUGUUUUGACCUUUUGGUACCGUGUUUUAUACAGAAUGGCAAGGAUAGGCCAAAAAUCAUGGAUAUGUUAUAUAGUCCUUGUUCAUACUUGGGGACUCCAGUAUGAUGGAUUGUGCUUGCUAACGAUACUAUUCUUUCUUGUAUUGCAGAUUAUCAAGACAUUCCUGAUCACAUUAAACCAGCAUAGUAAGCUAUCAGAUUUCUUAGUUACACUGAAGUAAGUACAACUAUAGGUCAUACUUCGCCCAUGGAGUUGGAUGAAGCAGGUUACACUGGUGGCAGAGAUCUCAUAGCAUGUGUGCACGGUACCACCCAUAGUGAAUCAUCAGUAACUAAGGCAGCCAGACCCACCAGAUUUCAGAGAAAGGUACAAAACAAACCUAUAAGCAUGCUAAAGGCAUCAAUGGAUAUAUAUACGAGGUAUGAACAUGACAAUUGAUGAAGGCCGUGAUGGUGGUAUAUGCACACGUGGGAGUUGGCUUAUUGAUCUCCCAGCAAUUGGGAAUGAUAAAUGGUGAAGGCUUUUAUGCAAGUUCUGUCCUUAGUAGGUACUUAAAUAUCAUGAUCAUUGUGUUGUCCCUUCCUAACAAUUCUGCAUCAUAUCGAUUGGCAUUAUGCAGGUUUGUGAUACACUACUUUCCAUAAAUCUUGUUGAGCGCUAAGAUUUUUUUGUAACCAUGAUCAUUUGAGAUUCUCUUUACAUUGUUUGCCGCCAUCCUCAUGGAUAUGAGUGAAGAAGGGUUCUACUAAACUUGUCGAGCUGAUGCAUAUGAAGACAAAGUAUUACGUAGGAUUUCGUUUUGAGAAUCUUUUUUUAUCCGAUCUACACAUCUGGAACAUUCCCGAGCUUCCUUCUCACAUGAAUAUCAUAUAUCUAUAGUUAACAGCAUAUUUGUGAACCGUAGUGAUAGAAAUUGAUCAUGGGAGACUAGCGUGCUAUCACAAGUUGAUGUUAAAAAGAAAAGCAGUGGCAA
This is a long non-coding RNA of Triticum dicoccoides, 1248 nucleotides long. RefSeq lists it as uncharacterized. The record is from RefSeq and is a predicted model, not a curated record. The transcript is spliced from 3 exons. NCBI's taxonomy places the organism in Eukaryota, Viridiplantae, Streptophyta, Magnoliopsida, Poales, Poaceae.